UACGUAGGGGGCAAGCGUUGUCCGGAAUCAUUGGGCGUAAAGCGCGUGUAGGCGGCUCGGUAAGUCCGCUCUGAAAGUCCAAGGCUCAACCUUGGGAUGCGGGUGGAUACUGCCGGGCUCGAGUCCGGAAGAGGCGAGUGGAAUUCCUGGUGUAGCGGUGAAAUGCGUAGAGAUCGGGAGGAACACCAGUGGCGAAGGCGGCCUUCUGGACCAAUACUGACGCUCAUGCACGAAAGCGUGGGGAGCAAACAGG
Molecule: ribosomal RNA, 253 nt
Filed under: uncultured bacterium
Lineage: Bacteria
Description: partial 16S ribosomal RNA
Rfam family: Bacterial small subunit ribosomal RNA
Source: RNAcentral